RNAcentral lists this long non-coding RNA (1131 nucleotides) under Cicer arietinum (chickpea). RNAcentral's name for it is "long non-coding RNA (CARI_LNC000904)". Lineage: Eukaryota; Viridiplantae; Streptophyta; Magnoliopsida; Fabales; Fabaceae. The record is from RNAcentral.
AACCCCAGUCAUCUCGUCAAAUACUCUAUCGCAGACAGAUUCAUCUCUUUCUAGAAGCGUUUCUUUUAGCCGGCUCAAUGCACAGGCACCAGAAUUUGUGCCCACUCGACCCACCCCACGAACCGAUUUGCAGCAGCAACCUAGACCCGUACUACUUCCGCCUCCUUCUCCUCCUUCGGCAUCAGGUAUGGUACAUGUUUACUCACCAUCCCCAUCUUCGCCGUUCCAUAUACCGAUUCGAGGCCACGUACCAGUCGCUAAUCACCACCACCACCGCCACCAUCAUGUUCCGGUUCACUACCGGUCUCAUCAUCACCCUCAUCAAUAUCAUGUUAGCUCCGAUUCGGCUGUGCAGCAACCUCAGCAGUCUCACGUUGAGCCAGAUCACACUCCUUUCAAAAGCAAGCAUUCCGGUAUGUUGAUUAAUUUAAAAAAAAAUAGAAAUAGAAAUAUAUAUAUAUAUAUAUAUAAAUCCAAAAUUAAAGAUUUAAAAACUUAUGAAACUAAAAGUACAUUUAGACCUAAUAAAUAUUGUUUCUGGGCAAAAAAAGCAAAAAACCUCACCGUGGUCAGCGUUCAUCUUCGUCAAUCACAAGUCACCAUUCAGCAGUCAAUCUUUAAAUAAUCCAUGAUACGAACCCCCGGGAAAAAUUGAGAGUUUUUUCUCUGUGGACACCGAUUCAGGUGUUAACGAUCUUGCUCUCUCUCGCUCACUGUUAUUUGUAUUACCUGCAGACGCAGAACAGCUGCGUCCUAUCCCAACCCAAGUAGCUGGAAAAGUAAUCUCAACAGCAGCAGCAAUUUAAUCGACCAAGAAAAUGGCUCAAGAGUCACUGACGGAAACCCCAGUCAUCUCGUCAAAUACUCUAUCGCAGACAGAUUCAUCUCUUUCUAGAAGCGUUUCUUUUAGCCGGCUCAAUGCACAGGCACCAGAAUUUGUGCCCACUCGACCCACCCCACGAACCGAUUUGCAGCAGCAACCUAGACCCGUACUACUUCCGCCUCCUUCUCCUCCUUCGGCAUCAGGUAUGGUACAUGUUUACUCACCAUCCCCAUCUUCGCCGUUCCAUAUACCGAUUCGAGGCCACGUACCAGUCGCUAAUCACCACCACCACCGCCACCAUCAUGUUC